Molecule: ribosomal RNA, 253 nt
Filed under: uncultured bacterium
Lineage: Bacteria
Description: partial 16S ribosomal RNA
Rfam family: Bacterial small subunit ribosomal RNA
Source: RNAcentral
UACGGAGGGUGCAAGCGUUAUCCGGAUUUACUGGGUUUAAAGGGUGCGCAGGCGGAUAUGUAAGUCAGUGGUGAAAUCUCCGGGCUUAACCCGGAAACUGCCGUUGAUACUAUAUAUCUUGAAUGCUGUGGAGGUAAGCAGAAUAUGUCAUGUAGCGGUGAAAUGCUUAGAGAUGACAUAGAAUACCUAUUGCGAAGGCAGCUCACUACGGGAAUAUUGACGCUGAGGCACGAAAGCGUGGGGAUCAAACAGG